Molecule: ribosomal RNA, 408 nt
Filed under: uncultured bacterium
Lineage: Bacteria
Description: partial 16S ribosomal RNA
Rfam family: Bacterial small subunit ribosomal RNA
Source: RNAcentral
AGUGAACGCUGGCGGCGUGCCUAAUACAUGCAAGUCGAACGAAGUGGCGCACGGGUGAGUAAUAUAUAGUUAAUCUGCCCUACACAGAGGAACAACAGUUGGAAACGACUGCUAAUACCUCAUAGUGUAGGAUGAGACUAUAUCGUAUCAGCUAGUUGGUAAGGUAAUGGCUUACCAAGGCAAUGACGCGUAACUGGUCUGAGAGGAUGAUCCGUCACUGUGGAACUGAGGAACGGUGCAAAAUCCUACGGGAGGCAGCAGUAAGGGAUAUUGCGAAAUGGGGGUAAACCUGACGCAGCACCGGCGCGUGGAGGAUGACACUUGUCGGGGCAUAAACUCCUUUUAUCAGGAAAGCGGUACCUGAUGAAUAAGCACCGGCUAACUCCGUGCCAGCAGCCGCGGUAAUAC